UACGUAGGGGGCAAGCGUUGUCCGGAAUCAUUGGGCGUAACGAGCGUGUAGGCGGCUCGAUAAGUCUGCUGUGAAAGUCCAGGGCUCAACCCUGGAAGGCCGGUGGAAACUGUCGGGCUAGAGUCCGGAAGAGGCGAGUGGAAUUCCCGGUGUAGCGGUGAAAUGCGCAGAUAUCGGGAGGAACACCAAUGGCGAAGGCAGCUCGCUGGGACGGUACUGACGCUGAGACGCGAAAGCGUGGGGAGCAAACAGG
RNAcentral lists this ribosomal RNA (253 nucleotides) under uncultured bacterium. RNAcentral's name for it is "partial 16S ribosomal RNA". It matches the Rfam family "Bacterial small subunit ribosomal RNA", at positions 524 to 776 of the family's 1533-position model. The record is from RNAcentral.